AUUGAACGCUGGCGGCAUGCCUUACACAUGCAAGUCGAACGGCAGCACGGGAGCAAUCCUGGUGGCGAGUGGCGAACGGGUGAGUAAUAUAUCGGAACGUGCCCAGUCGUGGGGAUAACGUAGCGAAAGCUACGCUAAUACCGCAUACGAUCUAUGGAUGAAAGCGGGGGAUCGCAAGACCUCGCGCGAUUGGAGCGGCCGAUAUCAGAUUAGGUAGUUGGUGAGGUAAAGGCUCGCCAAGCCGACGAUCUGUAGCUGGUCUGAGAGGACGACCAGCCACACUGGGACUGAGACACGGCCCAGACUCCUACGGGAGGCAGCAGUGGGGAAUUUUUGGACAAUGGGCGCAAGCCUGAUCCAGCAAUGCCGCGUGCAGGAUGAAGGG
This 385-nucleotide ribosomal RNA is filed under the name uncultured bacterium. RNAcentral describes it as "bacterial SSU rRNA". It matches the Rfam family "Bacterial small subunit ribosomal RNA", at positions 30 to 415 of the family's 1533-position model. The record is from RNAcentral.